UACAGAGGUGGCAAGCGUUGUUCGGAAUUACUGGGCGUAAAGGGCGCGUAGGCGGCCUUCUAAGUCUUGUGUGAAAUCCCUCGGCUCAACUGAGGAACUGCACGGGAUACUGGAUGGCUUGAGUUCGGGAGAGGGAAGCGGAAUUCCGGGUGUAGCGGUGAAAUGCGUAGAUAUCGGGAGGAACACCAGUGGCGAAGGCGACUUCCUGGCCUGUUCUUGACGCUGAGGCGCGAAAGCUAGGGUAGCAAACGGG
This 253-nucleotide ribosomal RNA is filed under the name uncultured bacterium. Its description in RNAcentral is "partial 16S ribosomal RNA". It matches the Rfam family "Bacterial small subunit ribosomal RNA", at positions 524 to 776 of the family's 1533-position model. The record is from RNAcentral.